GACGAACGCUGGCGGCGUGCCUAAUACAUGCAAGUUGAGCGCUGAAGGUUGGUACUUGUACCAACUGGAUGAGCAGCGAACGGGUGAGUAACGCGUGGGGAAUCUGCCUUUGAGCGGGGGACAACAUUUGGAAACGAAUGCUAAUACCGCAUAAAAACUUUAAACACAAGUUUUAAGUUUGAAAGAUGCAAUUGCAUCACUCAAAGAUGAUCCCGCGUUGUAUUAGCUAGUUGGUGAGGUAAAGGCUCACCAAGGCGAUGAUACGUAGCCGGCCUGAGAGGGUGAUCGGCCACAUUGGGACUGAGACACGGCCCAAACUCCUACGGGAGGCAGCAGUAGGGAAUCUUCGGCAAUGGACGAAAGUCUGACCGAGCAACGCCGCGUGAGUGAAGAAGGUUUUCGGAUCGUAAAACUCUGUUGGUAGAGAAGAACGUUGGUGAGAGUGGAAAGCUCAUCAAGUGACGGUAACUACACAGAAAGGGACGGCUAACUACGUG
Molecule: ribosomal RNA, 497 nt
Filed under: uncultured bacterium
Lineage: Bacteria
Description: partial 16S ribosomal RNA
Rfam family: Bacterial small subunit ribosomal RNA
Source: RNAcentral